This 379-nucleotide ribosomal RNA is filed under the name Escherichia coli. RNAcentral describes it as "bacterial SSU rRNA". It matches the Rfam family "Bacterial small subunit ribosomal RNA", at positions 648 to 1026 of the family's 1533-position model. The record is from RNAcentral. Lineage: Bacteria; Pseudomonadati; Pseudomonadota; Gammaproteobacteria; Enterobacterales; Enterobacteriaceae.
CUCGUAGAGGGGGGUAGAAUUCCAGGUGUAGCGGUGAAAUGCGUAGAGAUCUGGAGGAAUACCGGUAGCGAAGGCGGCCCCCUGGACGAAGACUGACGCUCAGGUGCGAAAGCGUGGGCAGCAAACAGGAUUAGAUACCCUGGUAGUCCACGCCGUAAACGAUAUCGACUUGGAGGUUGUGCCAUUGAGGCGUGGCUUCCGUCGCUAACGCGUUAAGUCGUCCGCCUGGGGAGUACGGCCGCAAGGUUAAAACUCAAAUGAAUUUACUGGGGCGCGCACAAGCGGUGGCGCAUGUGGUUUAAUUCGAUGCCACGCGGCGCACAGUGCCUGGUCUUGACAUCCACGCAAGUUUUCAGAGAGUAGAAUGUGCCUUCGGGAA